UUUCUUUCCAUGAUCUACGUUUCCAAAAUAUAAAUAACAAGCUUGUGCUUACAUGUAAAAAAAUUCAAUAAAGAUUAAAUUUCAAAAUUAUAAUUACAAUAGACAGCUCAAAAACGUUUAGAUAAUAUAAGAGGAGUCUAUAACUUUGUUUUCAUUUAUUCCAUAUUGCAUUGGGAAUGAAGGAAGGAUAAACACAAAGAAAACAUUUCAAUUUCACGUUGAAGAUUGUCCCUGUAAGCAAGUUCAGUUGGCAGAGACAGUGCAUGUAAUAUGUAGGGGCCGAGGUUCUAACUCUGGUACUCUCACUUAUUCAUGUUAAAAGGUGAAAUUCUAACCACUAGACUGCUGAUUGACAAAAAAAAAAAGUUCAUGUUCAAG
This 378-nucleotide long non-coding RNA is filed under the name Trifolium pratense (red clover). Its description in RNAcentral is "long non-coding RNA (TPRA_LNC005442)". Lineage: Eukaryota; Viridiplantae; Streptophyta; Magnoliopsida; Fabales; Fabaceae. The record is from RNAcentral.